Molecule: long non-coding RNA, 1255 nt
Organism: Leopardus geoffroyi (Geoffroy's cat)
Lineage: Eukaryota; Metazoa; Chordata; Mammalia; Carnivora; Felidae
Exons: 2
Source: RefSeq, a predicted model, not a curated record
CUCACGCAGUGUUUAUCACUGCCCCCUUCUACUCAUGAGGAAACAAAGUGAUUCCUAUUUACAUCACAAAGUUAGGGUAAUAUUCGAUCUUCAACCUACUACUCAGAUUCCUGAUUCUUUGUUUCUCCACCACACACACAGCUGCUGAACAAGUAAAUAGUUUGCAGCCCAACAUGUUUUAGGGUACUUUACCCCUCUGCAUCACCUUUCUUUAAAAGCUGCUCUCCACCAGCCACUGGUGAGGAGGCUGGUGAGGUAGCCAGAUUUAUACCCCAUGACACUUCUGGACACAGCUGAUUGGCCUGGGGCUGGCCACCUCAUGGAAGGUCUGCUGAUUGGCUGGCCAGUAACCAAUCAGAUUCAGAUUCAAACUUGAAAUUUUGAACUCCGAGAACCAGGAGCCACAGUCCAUUGGUGGCAGUUGUCUCAACUGAAAAGCCAUGUAGUCUGGUCCUGACAGAGCAAUAGCAGAAGGAGGAAGCAAUCCUGGCAAGUUGGAGAUCAGCAACCAGAGCAACGGAGACCUUGCCAUCACCACUCUACAAGAUAUCCCACCAGAUUAUAGCUGCAUGAAGGUGAAGCCAGUGUGGUCUUUGGGGCACAAGAAUGUCCUACAAAGGAGGCAUCUCAGGGGAUGCUGCGUAUGUGAAGGGUAGAGGGUGGAGGGGUUCCCAAGGACAAGACAACAGCGGUUGUUGCACACCUUGCUGGUUGUCAAAGCAAGCAAAGCUGUUGAAUCUUUCUGCGAGAUUUGUCCCUGUUUAUCAAAGGAGAAAAAGAGUCCUUUCUGGCUGGGCCCCAGGCCCACUGCUUGAUCAAAAAGGCUUUCCCUGAAGCCACCCACUUUGGGUGUUCUUGACUUCUGCCCACCUACAUUCCCUGGAAUAGGCUUGUCCUCGGUGCAGUGGGCACCCUCCUGAGAUCCUCUCAGCUGGCGCUUGCCCCCAAGUUCAAAGGAACAAUUAACAACACGAGUUCCCACUACCUAUGACCACCAUGUUGGAAGGUGGGACACAGAAUCCUCCUCCUUCAAAGAUGUUACAGGGAGACCUGUGGUCAUCUCAACCAGCCCGUCUCUCCCCCAACAUGCGACGCCACCAGCUCCUGGUGAUCCUACCCGGGAUGGGACGGUUCUCACCCUCCUCCUAUGUCCUCUGUAGAGGGCAGAGAUCCCAGCUGUUGGACUCAAAGAAAAUGACUUAACCUCUUAGCCUGUUACUUCAGCCACAAAAUUGUUAAAGGGCCUUCUACCGCA